CACGCUGUAAACGAUGGGAACUAGGUGGUAGCGGGUAUUGAUCCCUGCUGUGCCGAAGCUAACGCAUUAAGUUCCCCGCCUGGGGAGUACGGUCGCAAGGCUAAAACUCAAAGGAAUUGACGGGGGCCCGCACAAGCGGUGGAGCAUGUGGUUCAAUUCGAUGCAACGCGAAAAACCUUACCUGGGUUUGACAUCCUUUGACAGUCCCUGAAAGGGGAUCUUCCCGAUUUAUCGGGACAAAGUGACAGGUGUUGCAUGGCUGUCGUCAGCUCGUGUCGUGAGCUGUUGGGUUAAGUCCCGCAACGAGCGCAACCCUUGUUAUUAGUUGCCAAUAUUAAGUUAGGCACUCUAAUGAUACUGCCCCGGUUAACGGGGAGGAAGGUGGGGAUGACGUCAAGUCCUCAUGGCCUUUAUACCCAGGGCUACACACGUGCUACAAUGGGCUAUACAAAGGGCUGCCACUCUGCAAAGAGGAGCUAAUCCCAAAAAGUAGUCCUAAGUUCGGAUUGGAGUCUGCAACUCGACUCCAUGAAGCUGGAAUCGCUAGUAACCGUGGAUCAGCAUGCCACGGUGAAUUCGUUCCCGGGCCUUGUACACACCGCCGCCACACCACGAAAGUCGGC
RNAcentral lists this ribosomal RNA (623 nucleotides) under uncultured delta proteobacterium. RNAcentral's name for it is "bacterial SSU rRNA". It matches the Rfam family "Bacterial small subunit ribosomal RNA", at positions 796 to 1415 of the family's 1533-position model. Lineage: Bacteria; Deltaproteobacteria. The record is from RNAcentral.